Molecule: long non-coding RNA, 720 nt
Organism: Musa acuminata AAA Group (dessert banana)
Lineage: Eukaryota; Viridiplantae; Streptophyta; Magnoliopsida; Zingiberales; Musaceae
Exons: 2
Source: RefSeq, a predicted model, not a curated record
UUUCUAUAUAAUGAGUUGCUUUCAGUCUGCUGCAAGUCCUCAGGAUCGUACGACAUUAGCAUCAGCGGUGACGUUGCUUGCUCUCUUGUGCAGGGUAAGCGUGCAUGAAACGGAGCCUGGCACUGACGAAAGAACGACCCCCUGGUGAAAGUGAUGCUCUCCAACUCGAGUGGGCUUCUUCUUCAUGCAUGACUUCUCUUAGAGGGAAUGCUCCUCUUGUCCUACGGAUGCUGAAGCCAUGCAGACGUAGCCACCCAUCAUUGUCUCGUUCAUACGCUCAGAUAGAGUAUAUUGAUGCAACUGAGUAUAAAGCAGCAGCUUCGUGGCAGCACACAAAGCGUGAGAGGUUUCGCAGGCGACGACGACUCAUGCAACAGAGAGCAUCAUAAGAUUUCCAUGGAGCCAGCCAUUUAUUCCCUCUGACGCAGUCUGCCUUCUUCUCCGGCAUGCGGUGAUGAAUAGCGCAUGCAUGGCACAGCAGAUGCCCAAGCGUCAGAGGUCUUACAUCCCUUCACUGCAAGCUGUUCUAAGUAAAAGUUCUGCACCGCACUGCACGAUGGGGUGAAAAGAAGUACACAAGAAGAAGGAUGGGAGGAGGUCUUCUCUUCUUGUUUCCUUCACCGCAUGGCCAUAUGACGGGGUUCCUUCCACCGGAGAAGGACGUCGCGGGCGAUGUUGAGAGCGUCAUGGGAGGCCCCGAGGAGGCCUCGCCGGGUGAAG